GAAAUAUGGGUAUGCCUUCGAGGC
This 24-nucleotide non-coding RNA is filed under the name Gossypium hirsutum (cotton). Lineage: Eukaryota; Viridiplantae; Streptophyta; Magnoliopsida; Malvales; Malvaceae. The record is from RNAcentral.